This is a long non-coding RNA of Zalophus californianus (California sea lion), 1997 nucleotides long. RefSeq lists it as uncharacterized. The record is from RefSeq and is a predicted model, not a curated record. The transcript has 5 exons. Lineage: Eukaryota; Metazoa; Chordata; Mammalia; Carnivora; Otariidae.
UGACUGGACCACAACGUCAGGGAGGAGGGGAGAGAACUGUGGAUCCUCUCUCCAGUGGCCCUUCCCUCUGUCCACGAGGUCUUGCUUUCUGCCAUGGUGUCCAUCUGGGCACCAGAACAGAAGUCCUGGUGCCCCCUGUGGAAGCAUCUCGAGGACUGCUGGGCCAGAAGCGGGCCGAACAGCGCUGGACAUAAAAGAUCUGGGUCUAACUCCUGUCUCUGUGCACCUGCUGGGUGCUAACUUUGGGCAAAUGGACGUCACCUCUAGGUUUUCAACUCUGCAAAAUGGAAGUAAUGCUGAUUACAUGUCCUAGAUACACUUUCAGGACUAAGUGAGAACAGGUGAUACUUGUGUAUAAAGAAGACUGAGAACUGCAGAAUUACCUUGUGGAGAUUUCUGUGCCUGUAAACAAGUGAUUCUCAGUCCAGGCUGCACUUGGAAUCAUGAGAGGAACUUGAAAUAAUGCCACACGCCGUGUCCACUCCAGGCCGGUAAACUCACUAUGUGAGCUUUGAUAGUUUUUAAAGCUCUCCAGGGCCACAUAAACAUUGCCUGGCUGGAUUUUGCAUAUCUGACUGCCCCUUCUCAAGUCUUUUUGAGUCACACAGCUUCCUUGUACUGGGUCUGGGGUAGGAGUUGAACAGCAUAAUCAAAUCUUUGUUCUCUGACCAUUACUAGGUGCCUGAGGGUUAUGGCUCAGGCCAGCCAAGAGGUUUCUAGACCCCCAAGACUGCCACUUCUAUAUAACUUGAAAAGCGGCCAUGAAAGAGCUCAUGUAGCUCUCUCUCCAUAUGUCUGAUGCAAGUUUGUGCUUGAUGCUCGCCUUUUUGUUCCAUAAAUGCGUUCAGACUGAGGGGGAAAUGUCACCUGAGUGUAUAAAUAGGUGUAUCUCUGCCAGCAUCUGAUGGAAGGCCAAUCCCUUCAGAAUCUUUACUCUAUGAUCCUGGAAAGGAAGGAGCCAGAGGGACUUAAGAGGCCAUGCAGACCUGCUCUCUCCCUUGCCCCAAGAUAUAGGUUAGGAUGCUGAGGCCCAACGAGGGAAAGCAUUUUCCCAAAGUUAGAGGUUGAGCCCCUGGUUGAGCUGUCUUGUGGACCUAGGUCUUUUUGAACUAAAACCAGUUUGUACUUACAGCAGAAACUACUAACUGUUUCCCAAUUUCCAUCCUCCACUUCCCUCUUAAUAACAGAAACUCCAAUUUGUGAUUAGGCAUAGAGCUGUCUGGAAAAAAAGACUUCAUUUCCAGUCUUCUUUGCAGUAGAGGUGGCCAUGAGACAAAGUUCUGGCCAAUGACAUAUAAGUGGUAGUGUCCUGUGUGACUUCUGGAAACAUUCUUUUGUCCUUCCUCCAUCCUGCUGGCUGGAAUGUGGAGGUAAUAGCUGGAGCUUGAGCAGCUGUCAUGGAUUAUGAGGUGGAAGCCCUGCUGAGGACGGUGGAGCAUCCAGCAGGCUAGCCCACACUUGUGGAAGAGACCACAAAUAAUGAGUGGAAACAUGCCGGUAAUUUUUCUUGCCUCAGCUUGGGACAUGUCUGCUAACAUCCCAUUGGCCAAAACAAAUCUCAGGGUAGGAGCCAAAGACAGAGUGGGACAGCGCUUCACUGUUACACGGCAAAGCUCCAGAACCCAGCCUGAGCUUCCUGGAAUGUUGGCAUCCAUUGUGAGGGCCGAUCCCACCGACAUCGCUGAGAGGUACCGCCUAGAUGCUGAAGGACAGAUGGUGCCAGACUCUGACCUGGCCCGAAAACCUGACUGAGUGUCUUCAGUGGAAAACGGGGUGUCUCUGAAGCCUCUGUGCCUUUCGCUGCCUUUGAACUCUUUCACAGCUGUCUAAGUUGUAGGUAACGGGAGCAAUGCAAAAGGUUCUUGUCCAGGGAUAGACAAAUGAUAUUUUCCCCUCCGUGGAAGUACAACUGGUUUACCACACCCCUUGUGGAAUAAGCCAGUUGUGUGUCUUUUUGUGAUUUCACUGCAGCAUUUCUUCUUGUUUGCGUAUAUGUG